Long non-coding RNA from Ctenopharyngodon idella (grass carp), 933 nucleotides. RefSeq lists it as uncharacterized. The transcript is spliced from 2 exons. The record is from RefSeq and is a predicted model, not a curated record. Lineage: Eukaryota; Metazoa; Chordata; Actinopteri; Cypriniformes; Xenocyprididae.
AUUUAACCUCUCAUCUCAGCAGUUGUUUAGAAGCAUUUCUUAUUGUAUGUGAGUUAAAAGUUUCAAUUGGCCAGGUCAGAUCCAGGCAGCUCGAGCACAAAGAAAACAAGCUUUUGGAAAAGAUCUGGGUGUAGCCUGUCGCCAUAACAUAAAACCUCGGACACGCUGCAAAGUCUUAAAGUCUUCACUAGGGCACGUCACAAACAUCCAAACCGAUGUGAUGAGCCCCGGAUUCUGCACAGUCAUAAUAUUCCAUAUUAAACUUUAUUGGACCAACUAUUUCCAAAAAGGCUGUAGUGUGUUUUAAAUAGCAGGCUCUCUCUCUAUUAAAGCCUUCAUCGUGUGGCUUUUUGUGGGAAUGCGCUGUACAUCUGGGCACCACAUUGGCUUCCACGGUGGCUGGCUGGCUUUGGCACCCAUCGUAAGCCCAUUACAACCCCGGUCUGCCAGCCCUCCAGGAGCCCGAGCGUCGGGCUUCACGCCAGACCACUCCACUACCCCAGUCACACUCACUUCAACAAACAGCGGCGAGAGAAACCGGAGACGUGCAGAGUCACUGACCUAAUGUUCACUGAGACGAAGGGCCAAGGCCUUGUUUGCACUGGGAAACAUCGUGUGUCGAGACCGACGUGUUGAUGUGCGUGAAAACGGGAGCUUCCCGCCGUUUCUGCUUCCAUUCAGCGGAUGUCUGUGAGUGCCAAACAUCCAGAACUGAAGAUUUACAUCAAAGGGGAUACUGCAGGGAGUGGACUCGAAAUUUCUCAAUAAUCUGUCAAAACUGUACAGCAUUUCAACAAGCAGCCUCUGGUUACCAUGGAAACAUUUACCCUGUCUCCAACACUGUCACAUCUUAAUGGUUGAGAAAAAAAAAAAAUCACCUAACCAAACGAGGAAAAAAAGUGUUUCAUUCCAUAAAUCAGUGUUUGUUUGUGA